GCAUGGUUGUCGUCAGCUCGUGUCGUGAGAUGUUGGGUUAAGUCCGCAACGAGCGCAACCCCUAUUGUUAGUUGCCAUCAUUCAGUUGGGCACUCUAGCGAGACUGCCGGUAAUAAACCGGAGGAAGGUGGGGAUGACGUCAAAUCAUCAUGCCCCUUAUGACCUGGGCUACACACGUGCUACAAUGGUUGGUACAACGAGUUGCGAGUCGGUGACGGCGAGCUAAUCUCUUAAAGCCAAUCUCAGUUCGGAUUGUAGGCUGCAACUCGCCUACAUGAAGUCGGAAUCGCUAGUAAUCGCGGAUCAGCACGCCGCGGUGAAUACGUUCCCGGGCCUU
This 337-nucleotide ribosomal RNA is filed under the name uncultured Streptococcus sp. RNAcentral describes it as "bacterial SSU rRNA". It matches the Rfam family "Bacterial small subunit ribosomal RNA", at positions 1043 to 1382 of the family's 1533-position model. Lineage: Bacteria; Bacillati; Bacillota; Bacilli; Lactobacillales; Streptococcaceae. The record is from RNAcentral.